GGCCACAGCCAUAUCACCCUGCAGCCCAAGACUGGUUACUCACUGAAGCUAAGCAGGGUUGAGCCUGGUCAGUACCUGGAUGGCAGACCACAUCGGAAAACUAGUUUGCUGUUGAAA
RNAcentral lists this ribosomal RNA (117 nucleotides) under Danio rerio (zebrafish). Lineage: Eukaryota; Metazoa; Chordata; Actinopteri; Cypriniformes; Danionidae. The record is from RNAcentral.